RNAcentral lists this long non-coding RNA (256 nucleotides) under Sorghum bicolor (sorghum). RNAcentral's name for it is "long non-coding RNA (SBIC_LNC015805)". The record is from RNAcentral. Lineage: Eukaryota; Viridiplantae; Streptophyta; Magnoliopsida; Poales; Poaceae.
UACAUAGGAUUAGAACUAGAAGGAGUCAAUCUUCGAUUGGUUUCCGGAUCUGUCAAGAGGAUUCUUGGUAAUUCUCUAAUUGUUCUUCUAAUUGCUUUCUAAUUAUCUUUGUUCUUCAAUAUUAUGAAUAUGACUUUGUUCUACUUCAAUAUAUUGCUUAUGACUUUGCUCUACUUGUUUAUAUUCAAGAUUAUAUUGUUCUUAGUUUAUCAUAGUUAUGUACUUGGCUUAGUUAGAUUGGAUCUAUAUACAUGCU